GUCCUCAAGCUCAGGAUGAAAUUCAUGGUCAAGCUGAGAGGCCCCAUCUUCUUCUGACAAGAGCUUCCAACACAGCAUGGCUGUCCUGGUGCUGCUCCUCUGCCUGGUGACAUUUCCAAGCUGUGCCCUGUCCCAAAUACAGCUGAAGGAGUCAGGACCUGGUCUAGUGCAGCCAUCAGAGAGUCUGUCGCUCACCUGCACUGUCUCUGGGGUCUCACUAACGAGCAGUGUUGUACACUGGAUCCGCCAACCUCCAGGAAUGAGUUUGCAGUGGAUGGGAGGUAUAUGGGGUGAUGGAAGCACAAGUUAUAAUUCAGCUCUCCAGUCCCGAAUCACCAUCACCAGGGACACCUCCAAGAACCAAGUUUUCUUAAAAUUGAACAGUCUGCAAACUGAGGACACAGCCAUGUAUUACUGUGCCAUAGACACAGUGAGUGAACUCCAGUGUGAGCCUGCACAAAAACCUACAGAUGGAGACAUUCACGACCAGCAGGGGGCGAUGGAGACCAACAGGGUCUCCCAAGACCAGUAUGUUUUUCCUUAA
Non-coding RNA from Myodes glareolus (Bank vole), 544 nucleotides. The record is from the annotation of a RefSeq genome assembly. NCBI's taxonomy places the organism in Eukaryota, Metazoa, Chordata, Mammalia, Rodentia, Cricetidae.